Molecule: ribosomal RNA, 421 nt
Filed under: Fusobacteriota bacterium
Lineage: Bacteria; Fusobacteriati; Fusobacteriota
Description: Fusobacteria bacterium partial 16S ribosomal RNA
Rfam family: Bacterial small subunit ribosomal RNA
Source: RNAcentral
UGGGGAAUAUUGCACAAUGGACGGAAGUUUGAUGCAGCGACGCCGCGUGGAGGGUGUAGGCCUUCGGGUUGUGAACUCCUUUUUCUCGCGAAAAAGGCACAGUUUUGGCUGUGUUGAUGGUAGUGGGGGAAGAAGCGCCGGCUAACUACGUGCCAGCAGCCGCGGUAAUACGUAGGGCGCGAGCGUUGUCCGGAUUUAUUGGGCGUAAAGAGCUCGUAGGUGGUUCGUCGCGUCUGUCGUGAAAGCCAGCAGCUUAACUGUUGGUCUGCGGUGGGUACGGGCGGGCUUGAGUGCGGGAGGGGUGAGUGGAAUUCCUGGUGUAGCGGUGGAAUGCGCAGAUAUCAGGAGGAACACCGAUGGCGAAGGCAGGUCACUGGGCCGUUACUGACACUGAGGAGCGAAAGCGUGGGGAGCGAACAGG